AGAAUCAACGCUGGCGGCGUGCCUAACACAUGCAAGUCGAACGAGAAAGUGGAGCAAUCCAUGAGUAAAGUGGCGCACGGGUGAGUAACACGUGACUAACCUACCCUUGAGUGGGGGAUAACCUAGAGAAAUCUGGGCUAAUACCGCAUAAUACCUUCGGGUCAAAGGAGCAAUUCGCUUAAGGAGGGGGUCGCGGCCGAUUAGUUAGUUGGCGGGGUAAUGGCCCACCAAGACUAUGAUCGGUAUCCGGCCUGAGAGGGCGCACGGACACACUGGAACUGAAACACGGUCCAGACUCCUACGGGAGGCAGCAGUGGGAAUUUUGCGCAAUGGGGGAAACCCUGACGCAGCAACGCCGCGUGGAGGAUGAAGUCCCUUGGGACGUAAACUCCUUUCGAUCGGGACGAUAAUGACGGUACCGAGAGAAGAAGCCCGGCUAACUUCGUGCCAGCAGCCGC
RNAcentral lists this ribosomal RNA (458 nucleotides) under uncultured bacterium. Its description in RNAcentral is "SSU rRNA". It matches the Rfam family "Bacterial small subunit ribosomal RNA", at positions 26 to 518 of the family's 1533-position model. The record is from RNAcentral.